UUUUGUCGCUAGGAAAUGUCCCGCCCUCACAGGAGGAUCCUGAGCCGGGGUUGGGACCUGAUUAGAAUGAGGGUUUUACAGAAAAGCAGAUUGAUUUUGUUUGGUUAAUUUAUUUUUUGGGUAGUUAGUAUGAUAUUUUAUUUUUACCCAAAUGUUACAUUUUUUGGUUAUCAUUAUCCACCCGCAUUGUAGGUGGCAGAAUGCGCAUUUAAUUGUUGCGAACGCCAUUAUACCAUAGAAGAAGAUCACCACACAGCUGAACUGAUGGGUGAUGCAUUUCGACGACAGCUGAGAAGUGAUGCGAUACCAUCGAUAUACUUUCCUUCACAACAAAAUGGAAGAUUCUCAAUUAGAAGUAACCUAACGUCAGCUAGCCUACUUGGACUAGCUGGGUGGUAUAGAAUCUUACUCCAUAAUGCGCUUCCAACCCCCAGCUCAGCACAAGAUGAAGGAGAUGUGCAGUACCAGGAAAUAUUCUUCAAGAGGACCAAACAGUUGGUGGUUAAGAAGCCCUACACCACUUUCGGCAGAGCCUUAUCCAGCUGGCCAUUCACCGCAGACAGGACAAGCCCAUCGCCAUUGCACAAAGAGUCUCCGCUUCCCCAGUGCACCAUGCCAAACACAAUUGCCAGUGUACCGAAGCCAGAUAAAGGACUAUGGCUGCAUUUACACAGGCAGCCCAAUUCUGAUAUUUUUUCACUAAUGGGUCUUUUGAUCAAUCAGAUCAGCUCUGAAAAAGAUCUGUUGUGAAAAAAUAGCAGAAUUGGGCUGUGUGUGUAAACGCAGACGGUGUGAUUCAGCAUAAGAUCAUGUAGAACACACUGGAGGAUGGCUCAUAAUAAUGGCCAGGACGGAGCAAAUGGAAUGGUAUCAAACACAUUGAAACUGUUUGUAUUUGAUAUCGUUCCACUCUAGCCAUCACCAUGAGCCCGUCAUCCUCAAUUAAGGUGUCUCCAACCCUGUUUCUGCAGAACUACCCUCCUGUAGGUUUAUGCUCCUACCCUAGUUGUAACUAACCUAGUUCCUUUUUUAAAAACCAGCUAAUUAGACUCAGGUGUGCUAGGUUACUACAGUGCUACAGGAUGGGAGCUCUCCAAGAACAGGGUUGGAGAGCCCUGAUUUAGAACCCCCAUCAAAUAAAUAUAGAUAUUUUCUAUUAGUCUUUUAAAUUUGUCUGCCCUUAUGAAUUCACAGAAGACAUUUAUAUUAAAACUGUACAGGGCUCUGUAGCAUCAAACAGAUGCUAGACAUUCAGAUAUCCUCUGUAGACUCUACAGAUGGGACUUAUUCACCAUAAUAACCUCCUUAACCAAGCCUCAGAGCGUCAGGGACUGACUGGGCCAACCCAACAGCAGGUCCCUCACAAUGAGGGGUGGGCUUCAGCUUGGCACACAAUUCCAAAACCACAUGCUUGGGCUAUAUGGAGAUUAGCAUAAGUGCUAUGUACUGGUUGUGCAUCCCACCUAAACUUAUCUGUAAUUACUGUAUUGGGCUGGAGUUCUGCUCUUGUUAGUGUAUUUUUAAAAAUACUAUGCAUUUUUGGUGUCCUGUUGUGCAUAUAAAAUAUGCUAUGAAGCAAUGAUGCCCAAGCUGCGCAAAUAUUUGGAACUCAUUGUACAAGAUGAGAUGUUAUAUUUUACAUAAUUUAUUAAAAAAAAAAUAUAUAUAUAUAUAUAUAUAUAUGCAUAAUAUGUGCAGUAGAGUGGGAAAGUUUGAUGAGAAUAAAGACUCAGUUGUGGUACCCCUUUGGGUGGAUCAUAGUGCAAAAACAUUUUAGGGACCAUGGCCACAAGCAACACAUACUCCCUCUGUUGGACUCCUAUGAUAAGGCACUUGCAUCACUCAGUUACUGUUGCUGAUAAAACAUUGUAUGAACAUCAUUGCAUUGUUCGUAAUAAUGUUGAAAACGACUGAUUCUCUCUCAGUUGUAACUGAGUACCUGUAUAUUAACUAUAGACAGACCAAAUCAACAAAGUGGUAAUGAAUAGUAUUAGUGAUCUGGACGCACCUUUUUUAAAUAAACAGAUUUGGUGUAACAUGACAAGGGAAUGGAAUGGAGUACUAUCAAGUCAUUUGUUGACACAAAAAAACUCAUGAUUUUUAAAUAUCCAGUACACAUGGUCUGUUUAUCCGCCACCAGCAGAGAGCGCCAUUUCCACUUUAACCUCAACUAGCCUGGACCGCCACUCUUCGCAACUUGAUGUUUUAUUUUGUUAGUUGUGAGGACGACGCUUCAAUGGCACUUUUGUUUUGAAGAGAAAAGUCAAGCGAAAGGUUGAUGCAGCGUUUAGCUAGCUACCUACCGAGGUUGACUAGCUAGGUGGCUUGCUUAGUUGCUGCCUCAAGCUUCUUUUAAUCACACCGACAGAGUCAUUGAGUUUUGUUUGGUACACCAGAAGUAUACUGAACCAAAAUAAAAACGCAACAUGCAACAAUUUCAAAGAUUUUACUGAGUUACAGAUCAUAUAAGGAAAGCAGUCAACUUAAAUAAAUAAAUUGGGCCUUAAUCUAUGGAUUUCACAUGACUCGGCAGGGGUGCAGCCAUGAAUGGUCCUUGGAGGGCACACAUCCAGUAAAAAUGUUGGAUUACAUAAUGAAUAGUGCUGAACAAUUGGUGCUUUUUGUGGUCGUUCAUGUUCAAUUAUUAAAAUAAUCACUGUUUUCAAUUUCGAUCAUUUUGUAGACAGUAAAUGCACUAUGCAUUAUGUGGGUUGAAUGCUAUAACAAAAUAAAACAAAAGUAGUGACGGCCCAUUACUGCUUAUCACUUAUUAACCAUAAUGUAUUCACAUGAUUUGUUUUACAUGAUACAUACAUUUUUUUUCAUUCCAAGUCAUCUCAUCUCUAUAGAGCUGCUGCCUAUGCUGUCUUGACAAAUUCACUAUUUUAGUAGUUCUUCAACGUAAAAAAGGCAUGCUUUUUAUAUGACUGAUGAAUGCCAAAGUAUCAAACACUUAGAUCAUGUAUUUUCAGGUAGUGAUACCAGUGGUGUAAAGUACUUAAGUAAAAAGUGCUACUCAAGUAGUUUUGGGGGGGUAUUUGUGCUUUACUUUACUAUUUAUAUUUUUGACAGCUUUUACUCCACUACAUUCCUACAGUGCCUUGCAAAGGUAUUCACCCCCUUGGCGUUGUUCCUAUUUUGUUGCAUUACAACCUGUAAUUUAAAUGGAUUUUUAUUUGGAUUUUGUGUAAUGGACAUACACAAAAUAUACCAAACUGGCAAAGUGAAAUAAAACAAAUGUCUUAUUUCAAAAAAUUAUAAAAAGAGAAGUGGUGCGUGCAUAUUUAUUCACCCCCUUUGCUAUGAAGCCCCUAAAUAAGAUCUGGUGCAACCAAUUACCUUCAGAAGUCACAUAAUUAGUUAAAUAAAGUCCACCUGUGUGCAAUCUAAGUGUCCCGUGAUCUGUCACAUGAUCUCAGUAUAUAUACACCUGUUCUGAAAGGCCCCAGAGUCUGCAACACCACUAAGCAAGGGGGACCACCAAGCAAGCAGCA
Molecule: long non-coding RNA, 3494 nt
Organism: Oncorhynchus tshawytscha (Chinook salmon)
Lineage: Eukaryota; Metazoa; Chordata; Actinopteri; Salmoniformes; Salmonidae
Source: Ensembl